RNAcentral lists this ribosomal RNA (460 nucleotides) under uncultured bacterium. Its description in RNAcentral is "partial 16S ribosomal RNA". It matches the Rfam family "Bacterial small subunit ribosomal RNA", at positions 338 to 795 of the family's 1533-position model. The record is from RNAcentral.
CCUACGGGAGGCAGCAGUGAGGAAUAUUGGUCAAUGGGCGCGAGCCUGAACCAGCCAAGUCGCGUGAGGGAGGACGGCCCUACGGGUUGUAAACCUCUUUUGCCGGGGAGCAAUGGGCGCCACGUGUGGCGUCACUGAGAGUACCCGGAGAAAAAGCAUCGGCUAACUCCGUGCCAGCAGCCGCGGUAAUACGGAGGAUGCGAGCGUUAUCCGGAUUUAUUGGGUUUAAAGGGUGCGUAGGCGGAUCGUUAAGUCAGUGGUCAAAUUGAGGGGCUCAACCCCUUCCCGCCAUUGAAACUGGCGUUCUUGAGUGCAGUAGAGGUGGGCGGAAUUCGUGGUGUAGCGGUGAAAUGCUUAGAUAUCACGAAGAACUCCGAUUGCGAAGGCAGUUCACUGGACUGCAACUGACACUGAGGCUCGAAAGUGUGGGUAUCAAACAGGAUUAGAUACCCUUGUAGUC